AAAGGAGAGCAGGUGUUCCUGCGGUAGAGGUGAUCAAGGUGUUUGUGGCGCACGUGGAGCAGGGAGAAGAAUGAGGAACGUGCAGGAGGAGCUGGCCCUGGGAUCUGUGGAGAGGAGCCAGACACUUCGGAGUGGCACCCAGGGCGCCGGGAACCUGAGAGUGCCCUGGCCACACAACUGCACUUGCUGUGGGGAACAGAGAGUGUUCAGUGGGGACCCUUCUCUCCCCUGUACAGCAGGAGUGGGGAUGGAGGUAAAGACGGUUCCUGUUUCCACAACAGAGUCUCCACGCUGCCUCCCACUUUCAAACCAGAAACUCUCGAGUAGACAGAGAUGCCUUGUGAUCCAAUGAAGGCUGAGAAGUGUUCCCUCAAAAUUCUUAUUUGAAGCCCUAAUCCC
RNAcentral lists this long non-coding RNA (399 nucleotides) under Homo sapiens (human). RNAcentral's name for it is "non-protein coding IGSF21-AS1:7". The record is from RNAcentral. Lineage: Eukaryota; Metazoa; Chordata; Mammalia; Primates; Hominidae.